CUUGGGAGAAGGGUGUGCCCAGGACUUUGCAUCACGGAUAUUUGACGGGUCCUGGCACUCAGUAAAUGAAUGGUCGCAGGGUGAACAAUAAAUGAAGGGGGAAAUCAACCCUGAAAAAAGAAGGAUUUGCCCUUGGAGUUCUAGGUCACCAGCUAGGACCUUCCUUUGCACCUGUAGCAUAUCUGUUGAAGAAGCUAGACCUGGCUACUCAAGGAUGGGCAUCCUGCAUACGUGCUUUAGCAGCUGCUGAGCUUCUUAUCCGUCUAAAAGGCACCAGAGAGUACCAUAUGGCCCAGACUGCAAUGAAACAACAAUCAACCCCAGGACGUGGCAGCACCCCAACCCCCCAAAGAUGGUCAACGCCCCAGGCCAGCAGGAAGCAGCCUUGAGACAUCUUCGCCCUUACUUCCCUAACCUGCCAAGCCCAAUUCUCCAACUUUUAUAAUAAACAACAGCCGGGAUUAUAAGAACAAUACACCUGGAUGACCCUGACCCCCGCCCCCUAACCACGGGGCACACACCCGCCAUGCAUU
This 533-nucleotide long non-coding RNA is filed under the name Cricetulus griseus (Chinese hamster). RNAcentral describes it as "lncRNA (ENSCGRG00015042853.1)". Lineage: Eukaryota; Metazoa; Chordata; Mammalia; Rodentia; Cricetidae. The record is from RNAcentral.